AACGCACAUUGCACCCGCCAGCACUCUGGCGGGUAUGCCUGUUCGAGCGUCAUCUCAAACCUCAAGCCUAGCUUGCUGUUGGGGCGCCCUGGUACGCCGGGGCCCCCGAAUCGUAGUGGCGGAGCCGCCGUGGACUCUGAGCGCAGUACUUCAUGCACGCUUCUGGGCCCGGCGGCGCCUGCCGUAAAACCCACCGUAGCAAGGUUUGACCUCGGAUCAGGUAGGGAUACCCGCUGAACUUAA
RNAcentral lists this unclassified non-coding RNA (243 nucleotides) under uncultured Sordariales. RNAcentral's name for it is "sequence contains 5.8S rRNA gene, ITS2, 28S rRNA gene". Lineage: Eukaryota; Fungi; Ascomycota; Sordariomycetes; Sordariales. The record is from RNAcentral.